UCCAUUCAGCACCUUCAUCCGUUCAGCAGG
RNAcentral lists this non-coding RNA (30 nucleotides) under Rattus norvegicus (Norway rat). The record is from RNAcentral. Lineage: Eukaryota; Metazoa; Chordata; Mammalia; Rodentia; Muridae.